This 406-nucleotide ribosomal RNA is filed under the name uncultured bacterium. RNAcentral describes it as "partial 16S ribosomal RNA". It matches the Rfam family "Bacterial small subunit ribosomal RNA", at positions 30 to 526 of the family's 1533-position model. The record is from RNAcentral.
AUUGAACGCUGGCGGCAGGCCUAAUACAUGCAAGUAGAACGAGUGGCGGACGGGUGAGUAAUGUCUGGGAAACUGCCUGAUGGAGGGGGAUAACUACUGGAAACGGUAGCUAAUACCGCAUACUAUCGGAUGUGCCCAGAUGGGAUUAGCUAGUAGGUGGGGUAAAGGCUCACCUAGGCGACGAUCCCUAGCUGGUCUGAGAGGAUGACCAGCCACACUGGAACUGAGACACGGUCCAGACUCCUACGGGAGGCAGCAUUGGGGAAUAUUGGACAAGGGGGGCAAGCCUGAUGCAGCCAUGCCGCGUGUAUGAAGAAGGCCUUCGGGUUGUAAAGCACGUUCAGCGAGGAGGCGUUACUCACAGAAGAAGCACCGGCUAACUCCGUGCCAGCAGCCGCGGUAAUUC